RNAcentral lists this ribosomal RNA (253 nucleotides) under uncultured bacterium. Its description in RNAcentral is "partial 16S ribosomal RNA". It matches the Rfam family "Bacterial small subunit ribosomal RNA", at positions 524 to 776 of the family's 1533-position model. The record is from RNAcentral.
UACGGGGGGGGCAAGCGUUGUUCGGAAUUACUGGGCGUAAAGGGCUCGUAGGUGGCCAACUAAGUCAGACGUGAAAUCCCUCGGCUUAACCGGGGAACUGCGUCUGAUACUGGAUGGCUUGAGUUUGGGAGAGGGAUGCGGAAUUCCAGGUGUAGCGGUGAAAUGCGUAGAUAUCUGGAGGAACACCGGUGGCGAAGGCGGCUCACUGGCCCGGUACUGACGCUGAGGUGCGAAAGCGUGGGGAGCAAACAGG